This is a non-coding RNA of Triticum aestivum (bread wheat), 104 nucleotides long. NCBI's taxonomy places the organism in Eukaryota, Viridiplantae, Streptophyta, Magnoliopsida, Poales, Poaceae. The record is from Rfam.
UGACAUUUGAGGAAAUCCGAUAAAAUUGGAUGAUAUAGAGAAGAUUAGUAUGGUCCCUGCGCAAAAGGAUGACAUGCACAAAUCAAGGCCGACAGCUUUAGUGU